GACGAACGCUGGCGGCGUGCUUAACACAUGCAAGUCGAACGGAAAGGCCACUUUCGUGGUCCUCGAGUGGCGAACGGGUGCGUAACACGUGCGUAACCUGCCCUUGCCUUCGGGAUUACUUCAGGAACCUGGGGCUAAUACCGGUUCGGAAUCCUUGCUGCAUGGUGGUGGUUGGAAAGUUUCGGAGGUUUUGGCUGGACUGGCGGGUUAUCUGCUUGUUGGUGGGGUUGUGGCUUACCGAGGCUUGUUCGGGUAGCCGCCCUGCGGGGGCGACCGGCCAUCUUGGGUCCGAGGUAAGGCCGAGACUCCUACGGGAGGGAGCAGUGGGGAAGACUGAAGGAGCGGCGGAAGGCUGAUGAAGCAAGGCCGCGUGCGGGAUGACGGCCUUCGGGUUGUAAACCGCAUUCAGCAGGGGCGAAGCAUGUGGUGACGGUACCUGCAGAAGAAGCAACGGCUAACUACGUG
RNAcentral lists this ribosomal RNA (465 nucleotides) under uncultured bacterium. RNAcentral describes it as "partial 16S ribosomal RNA". It matches the Rfam family "Bacterial small subunit ribosomal RNA", at positions 28 to 507 of the family's 1533-position model. The record is from RNAcentral.